RNAcentral lists this ribosomal RNA (210 nucleotides) under uncultured bacterium. Its description in RNAcentral is "partial 16S ribosomal RNA". It matches the Rfam family "Bacterial small subunit ribosomal RNA", at positions 587 to 793 of the family's 1533-position model. The record is from RNAcentral.
GUCAGAUGUGAAAGACCCGGGGCUUAACCGUCGGAAUUGCAUUUGAAACUGGACAGGCUAGAGUCUUUGUAGAGGGGGUAGAAUUUCAGGUGUAGCGGUGAAAUGCGUAGAGAUCUGAAGGAAUACCAGUGGCGAAGGCGGCCCCCUGGACAAAGACUGACGCUCAGAUGCGAAAGCGUGGGGAGCAAACAGGAUUAGAUACCCUGGUAG